This 506-nucleotide ribosomal RNA is filed under the name uncultured bacterium. RNAcentral's name for it is "partial 16S ribosomal RNA". It matches the Rfam family "Bacterial small subunit ribosomal RNA", at positions 28 to 523 of the family's 1533-position model. The record is from RNAcentral.
GAUGAACGCUAGCUACAGGCUUAACACAUGCAAGUCGAGGGGUAACAAGAGAAAAGCUUGCUUUUCUUGUUGACGACCGGCGCACGGGUGAGUAACGCGUAUCAAACCUGCCUAUAACUAGGGAAUAACCUUGCGAAAGUAAGACUAAUACCCUAUGAUUUCCUUUGAUGACAUCAGAUUAGGAAUAAAGAUUUAUCGGUUAUAGAUGGGGAUGCGGCUGAUUAGCUUGUUGGCGGGGUAACGGCCCACCAAGGCAACAAUCAGUAGGGGUUCUUAGAUGAAGGUCCCCCACAUUGGAACUGAGACACGGUCCAGACUCCUACGGGAGGCAGCAGUGAUGAAUAUUGGUCAAUGGGCGGAAGCCUGAACCAGCCAAGUAGCGUGCAGGAUGACGGCCCUAUGGGUUGUGAACUGCUUUUAUACAGGAAUAAAGUUAGCCACGUGUGGUUAUUUGUAGGUACUGUAUGAAUAAGGACCGGCUAAUUCCGUGCCAGCCGCCGCUGUAA